RNAcentral lists this ribosomal RNA (433 nucleotides) under uncultured bacterium. RNAcentral's name for it is "partial 16S ribosomal RNA". It matches the Rfam family "Bacterial small subunit ribosomal RNA", at positions 29 to 507 of the family's 1533-position model. The record is from RNAcentral.
AACGAACGUUGGCGGCAUGCCUAACACAUGCAAGUCGAACGAGACCUUCGGGUCUAGUGGCGCACGGGUGCGUAACGCGUGGGAACCUGCCCUUAGGUUCGGAAUAACUCCCCGAAAGGGGUGCUAAUACCGGAUAAUGUCUUCGGACCAAAGAUUUAUCGCCUUUGGAUGGGCCCGCGUUGGAUUAGCUAGUUGGUAGGGUAAAAGCCUACCAAGGCGACGAUCCAUAGCUGGUCUGAGAGGAUGAUCAGCCACACUGGGACUGAGACACGGCCCAGACUCCUACGGGAGGCAGCAGUGGGGAAUAUUGGACAAUGGGCGAAAGCCUGAUCCAGCAAUACCGCGUGAGUGAUGAAGGCCUUAGGGUUGUAAAGCUCUUUUACCCGGGAUGAUAAUGACAGUACCGGGAGAAUAAGCUCCGGCUAACUCCGUG